Molecule: non-coding RNA, 795 nt
Organism: Cinara cedri
Lineage: Eukaryota; Metazoa; Arthropoda; Insecta; Hemiptera; Aphididae
Source: the annotation of a GenBank genome assembly
CCAGAUAUUUUCCUCUGAUUUUCAAGUGUAGCAUAUUUUCUGAAAAAAUUGUUAUCUAAUUGGGAGUUUUUUUUUUUUCGAAUGGGAAAAAUUUUGUAAAACAUAGGCAAUAUUAUUAUUAUGUGUACCAUUAUUGUAAUUAUAAGGUCAUAUGCCGUUAGAUUCAUCACCUAUAACAUUAUGAUGGUUUUUUCAACAUCCUUACGAACCAUCGCCGUCGUCCAUUGCCAUUUAUUUUGUUAUUGGCCGUUGAUGUUUUUAAGGUUAUAAUACUUAUAUUGUUAGAUUGUAAUAGUUCGCUUUUAUACCUAUUAUAAAAUAUAAAUACAUGUUGUUUGCAAAACGUAUAGGUACCUACAUGAUAAUAAUAUAAUGUGGUUUCCAUCCAUUGUUUUUUUUUUCCAUAUGAAUCGAAAGUUCCAUUCCAUUUCGAAUAUAGGUAUCUAUAUACGUAACCUGCAGCAGCACGUUCACGGCGUUAUUUAUUUACUGCGUAAAUUCGUUUGGCGGCCCGUGCCACAAAGACAAUAAUAUAAUAAUAUUCGUUUGGCAACCGCGCGCGAGACGGAGCUGAGACAUUAAUCACUCGAAAAAAAUAUAUAUAUACAUUAUUUUUUUUUACGAAAUAAGGACCUUCGUGCGGCAACGAUUGCUAUCAACUUAUGUUUUUUUUCCCCGUUAUCCUUCCCAAAUCCGCGUAUAUGCGCGUCCCGUGUAAAGAGAUGGACAUUGGACAAAUUCCAAACGUAGAAGCCUAGACAUCGCAGACGCCCUAUAAUCGUCGUACUAUAUAUA